UGGAAAGUGAAGGAAAAUUGACUGC
Molecule: non-coding RNA, 25 nt
Filed under: Mus musculus (house mouse)
Lineage: Eukaryota; Metazoa; Chordata; Mammalia; Rodentia; Muridae
Source: RNAcentral